UACGGAGGAUCCAAGCGUUAUCCGGAAUCAUUGGGUUUAAAGGGUCCGUAGGCGGUUUUGUAAGUCAGUGGUGGAAUCUGGUCGCUCAACGAUCAAACGGCCAUUGAUACUGCAAGACUUGAAUUACUGGGAAGUAACUAGAAUAUGUAGUGUAGCGGUGAAAUGCUUAGAUAUUACAUGGAAUACCAAUUGCGAAGGCAGGUUACUACCAGUGGAUUGACGCUGAUGGACGAAAGCGUGGGGAGCGAACAGG
RNAcentral lists this ribosomal RNA (253 nucleotides) under uncultured bacterium. Its description in RNAcentral is "partial 16S ribosomal RNA". It matches the Rfam family "Bacterial small subunit ribosomal RNA", at positions 524 to 776 of the family's 1533-position model. The record is from RNAcentral.